CCUACGGGAGGCAGCAGUGAGGAAUCUUGGUCAAUGGCCGGAAGGCUGAACCAGCCAAGCCGCGUGAAGGACGAAGGUGCCAAGCAUUGUAAACUUCUUUUGUCAAGGGACAAAAUCAGGCUCGAGAGCCUGACCGAGGGUACUUGAAGCAAAAGCAUCGGCUAACUCCGUGCCAGCAGCCGCGGUAAUACAGAGGAUGCGAGCGUUAUCCGGAUUUAUUGGGUUUAAAGGGUGCGUAGGGGGACUGUUAAGUCAGCGGGAAAAGCCCGGGGCUCAACCCCGGCGAGCCGUGGAAACUGGCUGUCUUGAGAUGUCGAGAGGUAUGCGGAAUGCGCAGUGUAGCGGUGAAAUGCUUAGAUAUUGCGCAGAACUCCGAUGGCGAAGGCAGCAUACCGGCGGCGAUCUGACGCUGAGGCACGAAAGCGUGGGUAUCGAACAGGAUUAGAUACUCGGGUAGUC
Molecule: ribosomal RNA, 459 nt
Filed under: uncultured bacterium
Lineage: Bacteria
Description: partial 16S ribosomal RNA
Rfam family: Bacterial small subunit ribosomal RNA
Source: RNAcentral